RNAcentral lists this unclassified non-coding RNA (271 nucleotides) under Archaeospora ecuadoriana. RNAcentral's name for it is "partial contains 5.8S ribosomal RNA and internal transcribed spacer 2". The stretch from base 1 to 71 matches the Rfam family "5.8S ribosomal RNA", at positions 84 to 154 of the family's 154-position model. Lineage: Eukaryota; Fungi; Glomeromycota; Glomeromycetes; Archaeosporales; Archaeosporaceae. The record is from RNAcentral.
GUGAAUCAUCGAAUCUUUGAACGCAUAUUGCAAUCUUUGGUAUUCCGGAGAGUAUGCCUGUUUGAGGGUAAUUAAAAAGAAUAUUUACCAAUUUUUUUUGGUAAAAGGAAAUGAUUUCUCCGCGUUUAUAGCGGUAGCUUGAAAUAAAUGGUAAAGUCUCAUUUACGUAGAGACGUGUAAUAUAAUUAUUUCGUGAAAUAUUCAUUAUGUGAUUAUCAAGUUUUGAUGCAUACAAAUUUGGUUUGUAUGCGAUUCAAAUAAAUAUUUUGUA